RNAcentral lists this microRNA precursor (76 nucleotides) under Eptesicus fuscus (big brown bat). RNAcentral describes it as "microRNA efu-mir-9363 precursor". Lineage: Eukaryota; Metazoa; Chordata; Mammalia; Chiroptera; Vespertilionidae. The record is from miRBase by way of RNAcentral.
UUAGAAGAAUAGGCUCAUCAGAGCAUAUAGCAUAUUCAUCUGAGCUAUAUGCUCUGAUGAACCUAUUCUUCUAAAC